AAUAUACCUGGGGCACACACUUGACCUUUCUCUGCCUAAUGAGAUUCCAACACUUUGAGGAAAAUAAAUCUUUGGCAUUCCAAGAGAGUGAUCCUGAAGUGUAACCUCCAUCAUACCAUCUAGAUGAACCACUGUCCAAAAACGUUCUAAUAAAGGCAGAGAAUAAGGUUGUUCCAAGGACCAGUUGAAAAGCCCGAGGUUCCGUCAGUGGCCAGAACUGAAGCUCAUCAUGAUUUGGACACUGCAGCUGAAACCCCAGAGACUUAGGCACUGAGCAACAAUAAAGAUACUGUAUAAUCAACUAGGAUUACGGCAAGAAAACACAAAGUGCUUUUCAGAUCAUAAAAGAAAUGAUUAUCACGAGGAAAGGGAAGUGACUGUUGGAUUCAAAAGGCAAUCAGAGAAAAAUUUUAAAAAGUAAACAUAAAAUAUCACCCUCUAGCCCAGAAGAUGUUAAAAUCUCAAAGAAAAAUUUCCAAAGAAAAUAUAAUAAGCUCACAGAAGAAAAAGCAUUUACGCAAUCCAUUUUAGGCUGUACACUUUGCUAAAUGAUCUGCAAAAUUAGAAAAAGAAACUGAUUCAUUGUAGAGGUGCGUUAUCUGAAGAGUACGUAGUGUCCAGAAAUUUUGUUGUUUCUUUCGUCAGAAUCAAUGUGAGGUUUGCAUUAGUAAGGAUGGUGACGUUAUUAAAACAAAGAAGAAGAAAAAAAAAGCUAGAGAACUGGAUCAAGAUGAGAAGCAAAAGGGAGUGUCAACAAUGUUCAUUUCCCAGUGUGGAGAGAGCUUAUAGAAAUAUAAUAAAGUACCUUCAUUUUCCUUCAGCUAAUACAUAAAGUCAAAAAUCCUCAGUACUCCUGAAAAAAGAUUGUCUCUACAAAUGAUGCACUCUUUAAAUGCCAUUCAAUAGCUGUUGUUGAAGUUUGGCUCCUGAAAAAGCUGCAGCUAUAGUUUUCAUGUGGCAAAAACGUCACUCUGCACUUCAGUUAAUUGUGCAAUGCCUGGCCACUGUUUUGUUUCAUGGGCACAUGUGUCAAUGAUUUCAUUCUUUAACAGUGCUUCUUGUCCUUUUAUGUCUCAAAACACCUGAGGUAAGUUUCAUUCUCCCAUCAGUGACAGUGAUUCUCUACGGUAAUCAUGAGACCUUUUGUAGGAGGCCAUGUUAGGUGCUAGAACCUCUCAGCGGUGGGAAGUUGAGAAGCGACAUCAGAGUCAAAUAUCUUCCUCAGGAGAUUCUAGGACAACCCCCAGGGCUUGCAAACCCCUUUCUCUUUUGAGAAUCACUAAUCUUCCCUGGUUAUAAACUCCUUCCCUUUUUGCAAAUCACGGAUCUUUGAAUGAAGACAAAGAAUUUCUAUUUUUUCUUCAUGCCAGAACUUGGAUAUGUGGCAGGAUUGAUGAUCUAUUCUGGCUCCAGAUGGUUGCGUUCUCCUGAUGACAGAUGGAAGUCCAGGACAAGCGGCCCCAUCUACAUGAAAGAAGGAGAUAAAUGAUUGACAUAAGAAGGCCAGCAAGAUACAGGACCUCUUUAAAGCACACUUUUUACUUUUCUGAUUCUUCAGUAAAUCCUUGAAUUGUG
Molecule: long non-coding RNA, 1575 nt
Organism: Equus caballus (horse)
Lineage: Eukaryota; Metazoa; Chordata; Mammalia; Perissodactyla; Equidae
Source: Ensembl